Molecule: signal recognition particle RNA, 88 nt
Filed under: marine eukaryotic metagenome
Description: Bacterial small signal recognition particle RNA
Rfam family: Bacterial small signal recognition particle RNA (bases 2-79)
About the family: The signal recognition particle (SRP) is a universally conserved ribonucleoprotein involved in the co-translational targeting of proteins to membranes.
Source: RNAcentral
GUCUCCCCGGUGGCGAUAGAUUGUGAACCCGGUCAGGUCCGGAAGGAAGCAGCCGCAGCAGUUGAAUCGGGUGCCGGGGCGGGGCUGG